RNAcentral lists this transfer RNA (76 nucleotides) under Desulfotomaculum copahuensis. Its description in RNAcentral is "tRNA-Val". It matches the Rfam family "tRNA". From Rfam's summary of the family: Transfer RNA (tRNA) molecules are approximately 80 nucleotides in length. Their secondary structure includes four short double-helical elements and three loops (D, anti-codon, and T loops). Lineage: Bacteria; Bacillati; Bacillota; Clostridia; Eubacteriales; Desulfotomaculaceae. The record is from RNAcentral.
GGGAGCAUAGCUCAGCCGGGAGAGCGCCUGCCUUACAAGCAGGAGGUCACAGGUUCGAUCCCUGUUGCUCCCACCA